CAAGUCGAACGCGAAAGGGGCUUCGGCCCUGAGUAGAGUGGCGAACGGGUGAGUAACGCGUGGGUGACCUACCUUCGAGUGGGGGAUAACGUCCCGAAAGGGACGCUAAUACCGCAUGACAUCCUGCCCUUGAAUGGGUGGAGAUCAAAGCCGGGGAUCGCAAGACCUGGCGCUUGGAGAGGGGCCCGCGUCCGAUUAGCUAGUUGGUGGGGUAAUGGCUCACCAAGGCAACGAUCGGUAGCCGGCCUGAGAGGGCGGACGGCCACACUGGGACUGAGACACGGCCCAGACUCCUACGGGAGGCAGCAGUGGGGAAUUGUUCACAAUGGGCGCAAGCCUGAUGACGCAACGCCGCGUGGAGGAUGAAGGUCUUCGGAUUGUAAACUCCUGUUGCUCGGGAAGAAAAGCUCCGACCUAACACGUCGGAGUCUGACGGUACCGGGUGAGGAAGCCCCGGCUAACUCUGUGCCAGCAGCCGCGGUAAUACAGAGGGGGCAAGCGUUGUUCGGAAUUACUGGGCGUAAAGGGCGCGUAGGCGGCCUGUUAAGUCGAACGUGAAAUCCCCGGGCUCAACCCGGGAACUGCGUCCGAUACUGGCAGGCUUGAAUUCGGGAGAGGGAUGUGGAAUUCCAGGUGUAGCGGUGAAAUGCGUAGAUAUCUGGAGGAACACCGGUGGCGAAGGCGGCAUCCUGGACCGAUAUUGACGCUGAUGCGCGAAAGCCAGGGGAGCAAACGGGAUUAGAUACCCCGGUAGUCCUGGCCCUAAACGAUGAAUGCUUGGUGUGGCGGGUAUCGAUCCCUGCCGUGCCGAAGCUAACGCAUUAAGCAUUCCGCCUGGGGAG
Molecule: ribosomal RNA, 842 nt
Filed under: uncultured Acidobacteriota bacterium
Lineage: Bacteria; Pseudomonadati; Acidobacteriota
Description: bacterial SSU rRNA
Rfam family: Bacterial small subunit ribosomal RNA
Source: RNAcentral